This 250-nucleotide long non-coding RNA is filed under the name Elaeis guineensis (African oil palm). Its description in RNAcentral is "long non-coding RNA (EGUI_LNC062279)". The record is from RNAcentral. Lineage: Eukaryota; Viridiplantae; Streptophyta; Magnoliopsida; Arecales; Arecaceae.
UUGUCGCCCAUUAGUGAUAGGAUUAGGUUUGUUUUAAGUUGAAUUCAAAAGAUUUGAAUUUAAACCUAUUUCAUUGCACAAAUUAUUUUAUGUGCUGAAUAAUCCAUGUCAAAGCCUCCUAUUAUCACCCAUUAGUGAUAGGAUUAGGUUUGUUUUAAGUUGAAUUCAAAAGAUUUGAAUUUAAACCUAAAACUUUAUCCUUAUCCUCCCACACGCCAGCACCUUGUGAAGGAUCUUGAUUUGUGCGACA